CUACGGGAUGCUCCAGUGAGGAAUAUUGCACAAUGGGGGGAACCCUGAUGCAGCAACGCCGCGUGGAGGAUGACGCAUUUCGGUGUGUAAACUCCUUUUAUAUGUCAAGAAAGUGACGGUAGCAUAUGAAUAAGCACCGGCUAACUCCGUGCCAGCAGCCGCGGUAAUACGGAGGGUGCAAGCGUUACUCGGAAUCACUGGGUGUAAAGGACGCGUAGGCGGGUUGGAAAGUCAGGUGUGAAAUCCUACAGCUUAACUGUAGAACUGCACUUGAAACUUCUAAUCUAGAGUAUGGGAGGGGGAGAUGGAAUUAGUGGUGUAGGGGUAAAAUCCGUAGAUAUCACUAGGAAUACCUAAAGCGAAGGCGAUCUCCUGGAACAUUACUGACGCUAAGGCGUGAAAGCGUGGGGAGCAAACAGGAUUAGAUACCCCAGUAGUC
This 439-nucleotide ribosomal RNA is filed under the name uncultured bacterium. Its description in RNAcentral is "partial 16S ribosomal RNA". It matches the Rfam family "Bacterial small subunit ribosomal RNA", at positions 339 to 795 of the family's 1533-position model. The record is from RNAcentral.